GUGCCGUGAUGUAACUGUCAACACAUCAUUCUGAAGAAUUGUGUGGAGACCUUCUGCAACUGAGCACC
RNAcentral lists this small nucleolar RNA (68 nucleotides) under Tauraco erythrolophus (red-crested turaco). RNAcentral's name for it is "Small nucleolar RNA SNORD63". It matches the Rfam family "Small nucleolar RNA SNORD63". Rfam says of the family: snoRNA U63 is found in both humans and mice. U63 is a member of the C/D class of snoRNA which contain C (UGAUGA) and D (CUGA) box motifs. Most of the members of the box C/D family function in directing site-specific 2'-O-methylation of substrate RNAs. Lineage: Eukaryota; Metazoa; Chordata; Aves; Musophagiformes; Musophagidae. The record is from Rfam by way of RNAcentral.